CGUAGGUGGUUUUUUAAGUUGGAUGUGAAAGCCCUGGGCUCAACCUAGGAACUGCAUCCAAAACUAGAUGACUAGAGUACGAAAGAGGGAAGUAGAAUUCACAGUGUAGCGGUGGAAUGCGUAGAUAUUGUGAAGAAUACCAAUGGCGAAGGCAGCUUCCUGGUUCUGUACUGACACUGAGGUGCGAAAGCGUGGGUAGCGAACAGGAUUAGAUACCCUGGUAGUCCACGCCGUAAACGAUGACAACUAGCUGUUGGGAGACAAGAUCUCUCAGUGGCGCAGCUAACGCUUUAAGUUGUCCGCCUGGGGAGUACGGCCGCAAGGUUAAAACUCAAAUGAAUUGACGGGGACCCGCACAAGCGGUGGAGCAUGUGGUUUAAUUCGAUGCAACGCGAAAAACCUUACCUACUCUUGACAUACUUGGAAGCUCUUGUAAUGAGAGUGUGCUUUUAGAGCCAAGAUACAGGUGCUGCAUGGCUGUCGUCAGCUCGUGUCGUGAGAUGUUGGGUUAAGUCCCAUAACGAGCGCAACCCUUACCCUUAUUUGCCAGCGGUUCGGCCGGGAACUAUAAGGGGACUGCCGGUGACAAACCGGAGGAAGGUGAGGACGACGUCAAGUCAUCAUGGCCCUUACGAGUAGGGCUACACACGUGCUACAAUGGGGAAUACAGACGGACGCUAAAGCGUGAGCUGGUGCCAAUCCUAAAAAAUUUCUCGUAGUCCGGAUUGCAGUCUGCAACUCGACUGCAUGAAGUCGGAAUCGCUAGUAAUCGCGAAUCAGCAUGUCGCGGUGAAUACGUUCUCGGGUCUUGUACACACCGCCCGUCACACCAUGGAAGUGUGUUGCACCAGAAGUAGGUAGUCUAACCUUCGGGAAGGCGCUUACCACGGUGUGAUCCAUGACUGGGGUGAAGUCGUAACAAGGUAGCCGUA
This 932-nucleotide ribosomal RNA is filed under the name uncultured bacterium. Its description in RNAcentral is "bacterial SSU rRNA". It matches the Rfam family "Bacterial small subunit ribosomal RNA", at positions 570 to 1504 of the family's 1533-position model. The record is from RNAcentral.